This 447-nucleotide ribosomal RNA is filed under the name uncultured Mitsuokella sp. Its description in RNAcentral is "bacterial SSU rRNA". It matches the Rfam family "Bacterial small subunit ribosomal RNA", at positions 355 to 794 of the family's 1533-position model. The record is from RNAcentral. Lineage: Bacteria; Bacillati; Bacillota; Negativicutes; Selenomonadales; Selenomonadaceae.
UGGGGAAUCUUCCGCAAUGGGCGCAAGCCUGACGGAGCAACGCCGCGUGAGUGAAGAAGGGUUUCGACUCGUAAAGCUCUGUUGUCGGGGACGAACGUGGAGAUGGUGAAUAACCAUUUCCAAUGACGGUACCUGACGAGGAAGCCACGGCUAACUACGUGCCAGCAGCCGCGGUAAUACGUAGGUGGCGAGCGUUGUCCGGAAUUAUUGGGCGUAAAGGGAGCGCAGGCGGGAGAUCAAGUCUAUCUUAAAAGUGCGGGGCUCAACCCCGUGAGGGGAUGGAAACUGGUCUUCUUGAGUGCAGGAGAGGAAAGCGGAAUUCCUAGUGUAGCGGUGAAAUGCGUAGAUAUUAGGAGGAACACCAGUGGCGAAGGCGGCUUUCUGGACUGUAACUGACGCUGAGGCUCGAAAGCGUGGGGAGCGAACAGGAUUAGAUACCCUGGUAGU